GGGAAGUGUGUGUGUGUGUGUGUGUGUGUGUGUGUGUGUGUGUGUGUGUGCACAUGCGUGCGCCCGUGCACACGC
Molecule: microRNA precursor, 75 nt
Filed under: Tursiops truncatus (common bottlenose dolphin)
Lineage: Eukaryota; Metazoa; Chordata; Mammalia; Artiodactyla; Delphinidae
Description: miRNA (ENSTTRG00000023505.1)
Source: RNAcentral